GCGAAUGCUCUUCGGAGUGGAAGCGGCGAAAGGGGCAGUAAUGCAUGGGUACCUACCGAGCGGUUGGGCAUAGCUCGUUGAAGAACGAGAUAAUUCCCAGCGAUGUCGCAAGACCAAAGCUCCGGCGCCUCUUGAGGGGCCCAUGUGGUAUUAGCUAGUUGGUGAGGUAACGGCUCACCAAGGCAGAGAUACCUAGCGGGUGUGAGAGCACGACCCGCGCCACUGGCACUGAGACACUGGCCAGACACCUACGGGUGGCUGCAGUCGAGAAUCUUCGGCAAUGGGCGCAAGCCUGACCGAGCGACGCCGCGUGAGCGAUGAAGGCCUUCGGGUUGUAAAGCUCUGUCGAGGGAGAGAAAAGCGCAAGUUUGAUCGACCCCUGGAGGAAGCACGGGCUAAGUUCGUGCCAGCAGCCGCGGUAAGACGAACCGUGCGAACGUUAUUCGGAAUCACUGGGCUUAAAGGGCGCGUAGGCGGGCUGUUAAGUCCGGGGUGAAAUCCUCCCGCUCAACGGGAGAACUGCCUCGGAUACUGAUGGUCUCGAGGACGGUAGGGGUAAGCGGAACUGUGAGUGGAGCGGUGAAAUGCGUUGAUAUUCACAGGAAUUCGGUGGCGAAGGCGGUUUACUGGACCGUAUCUGACGCUGAGGCGCGAAAGCUAGGGGAGCGAAGAGGAUUAGAUACCCUCGUAGUCCCUAGCCCUAAAACGAUGGGUACUAGGUAGUCGGCUUGAUAUGAGCUGACUGCCGAAGCCCAAGUGCUA
This 762-nucleotide ribosomal RNA is filed under the name uncultured bacterium. Its description in RNAcentral is "bacterial SSU rRNA". It matches the Rfam family "Bacterial small subunit ribosomal RNA", at positions 66 to 862 of the family's 1533-position model. The record is from RNAcentral.